RNAcentral lists this transfer RNA (87 nucleotides) under Paenibacillus mucilaginosus KNP414. RNAcentral describes it as "tRNA-Ser". It matches the Rfam family "tRNA". From Rfam's summary of the family: Transfer RNA (tRNA) molecules are approximately 80 nucleotides in length. Their secondary structure includes four short double-helical elements and three loops (D, anti-codon, and T loops). Further hydrogen bonds mediate the characteristic L-shaped molecular structure. tRNAs have two regions of fundamental functional importance: the anti-codon, which is responsible for specific mRNA codon recognition, and the 3' end, to which the tRNAs corresponding amino acid is attached (by aminoacyl-tRNA synthetases). tRNAs cope with the degeneracy of the genetic code in two manners: having more than one tRNA (with a specific anti-codon) for a particular amino acid; and 'wobble' base-pairing, i.e. permitting non-standard base-pairing at the 3rd anti-codon position. RNAcentral also lists the same sequence under 1 other name. The record is from RNAcentral. Lineage: Bacteria; Bacillati; Bacillota; Bacilli; Caryophanales; Paenibacillaceae.
GGAGAGGUGGUCGAGUGGUUUAAGGCAGCGGUCUUGAAAACCGCCGUAUCCGUGAGGGUACCGUGGGUUCGAAUCCCACCCUCUCCG